AAAAAAAAAAAAGUUUUCCCUUGAUAGAUUCCCACAGGAAUACUCCAUUCUGACUAGUCAAAUCAUCAGCUUUAUUUUGUUGUGUUUUGACAGAGUCAUUCAACAGAACAGCAACACUUCCUGUUCCUCAGAGGAUUAAAUCUGGAUCUUGUGAUGUGCAACAUUUCUGAUGUAUAUUCAUUCAACCAUGAGAUCCCAUGCUAAAGCUAAUUCUGUUGUUUUCUGUUUGUUAUAGUUAAUGUUAUCAUGAAAUCUGUAGCCUGGAAACCCAUUUUUGGGAAUUCAGAUUAUCAACCGGAAGACGUUAAGCAUUACCAUGCGACUCAGAUUAAAGGUCAGUGAUGCAUGAAGGGCGAGGAGAGGAGAGUGGACACAGACUGAAAGGAAGGACAGGACACUGCAGCAGCAGGUCCUGUGGAAAAUUCUGACUCCAAAACCUUAAAAGGUGAAAGCAAAACAGCCACAGGACAAGAACAUUUCCACAUGCUUUCCUUCCUGACCUUUCAUUAUACAAGAGCUGGAGGCUGCUUCUAUUCUCAGCAUAAUACAUAAUCAGAUUCCACGGCGUGAUUUUGAAUCCGUCUGAGAUCUGAAGGUUUACUGUAACGUGAGGAAUUUUACUGUUUUCAGCACAAACACCAGAGAACUUUGAUGUCCUUCAUGCUGCUGGAAAUUAAUAUCCUGAAAAUAUCCCAAAACUGAUGCUGUUGAUCUCAAAACACAACACAGCAUCAACUGACUCUGUACUGAGAGUUAACUGAGAGAGUGUUUCUAAACCACAGAAACCCUUUGGUCAUUUCUUUUUUUUUUUCUGUUACAAGACAGAAGAUCAGUGGAGACAAAAGAACAUGCGUUGAGAUGUAAAGAGAGAAAUCCUCAUGUAGUGAACUGGGGCAAAGCAGAUGUCUGUUCAAACGAGUUCUUUGAUUCAAGACUACAUACUAUUUCUCAGAGAUAUCCAGGCUCAUCUGGAGUGUUUAUUUUUUUGUUUGUUUGUUUGUUUGUUUGUUUUUUUGUCUCUCAGUACCAUAUGGAUCCACAGCAGACAGCAUAUCUAAAAGGAUCACUUUUAAAAAUGUGCAUACACUCACAGGAAAUAAAGAUGGGGGGGGGGGGACAUUAUGGAAAUAAGUUAAAGCAAAUGUGAGAUGUCUGAAAUGGAAUAUAUUAAACAUGCAAUUUAAAUUUAAAUGGCAAUAUUUCCAAAGGCUUGCCAUCU
This is a long non-coding RNA of Cyprinus carpio carpio, 1219 nucleotides long. Lineage: Eukaryota; Metazoa; Chordata; Actinopteri; Cypriniformes; Cyprinidae. The record is from Ensembl.